RNAcentral lists this ribosomal RNA (440 nucleotides) under uncultured bacterium. Its description in RNAcentral is "partial 16S ribosomal RNA". It matches the Rfam family "Bacterial small subunit ribosomal RNA", at positions 338 to 795 of the family's 1533-position model. The record is from RNAcentral.
CCUACGUGAGGCAGCAGUGGGGGAUAUUGCACAAUGGGGGGAACCCUGAUGCAGCGACGCCGCGUGGGUGAAGAAGCGCCUCGGCGCGUACAGCCCUGUCAGCAGGGAAGAAAAUGACGGUACCUGAAGAAUCAGCCCCGGCUAACUACGUGCCAGCAGCCGCGGUAAUACGUAGGGGGCAAGCGUUAUCCGGAUUUAUUGGUUGUAAGGGGGCCGAAGCGGGGGAUGCAUGCCAGAAGUGAAAGCCCGGGGCCCAACCCCGGGACGGCCCGUGGAACUGCGUGGCGGGAGUGCAGGAGGGGGAGGCGGAAUUACUGGUGUAGCGGUGAAAUGCGUAGAUAUCAGGAGGAACACCGGUGGCGAAGGCGGCCUGCUGGACUGCAACUGACGUGGAGGCCCGAAAGCGUGGGGAGCAAACAGGAUUAGAUACCCGAGUAGUC